AAUGAACGCUGGCGGCGCGCCUAAUACAUGCAAGUCGAGCGAGAAGACGUAGCAAUACGUUUGUAAAGCGGCGAACGGGUGAGGAAUACAUGGGUAACCUACCCUCGAGUGGGGAAUAACUAGCCGAAAGGUUAGCUAAUACCGCGUACGCUUCUUGGACUUCGGUUCAGGGAGGAAAGCGAUGCCGAGGGUAUCGCGCUCUUGGAUGGGCUCAUGUCCUAUCAGCUUGUUGGGAGGUAACGGCUCACCAAGGCUUCGACGGGUAGCUGGUCUGAGAGGACGAUCAGCCACACUGGCACUGCGACACGGGCCAGACUCCUACGGGAGGCAGCAGUAAGGAAUAUUGCGCAAUGGGCGAAAGCCUGACGCAGCGACGCCGCGUGGGGGAUGAAGGUCUUCGGAUUGUAAACCCCUUUCGGGAGGGAGAUGGAAUGGGGUAACCCAUUCGGACGUACCUCCAGAAGCAGCCACGGCUAACUUCGUGCCAGCAGCCGCGGUAAC
Molecule: ribosomal RNA, 501 nt
Filed under: uncultured bacterium
Lineage: Bacteria
Description: bacterial SSU rRNA
Rfam family: Bacterial small subunit ribosomal RNA
Source: RNAcentral